This is a small nucleolar RNA of Suncus etruscus (white-toothed pygmy shrew), 130 nucleotides long. RefSeq annotates it as small nucleolar RNA SNORA24. The record is from RefSeq and is a predicted model, not a curated record. The transcript has a single exon. Lineage: Eukaryota; Metazoa; Chordata; Mammalia; Eulipotyphla; Soricidae.
AUCCAUGUGUCUAUGGGACCUGACGACUGUGGCAGUCUCCCUUCCUAUGCAUGGAAGAUCAAGUCCUUGUUGAUUGGCAAAGCUGUACCGUUCCGUUGGUAACAGAUUCUGACUUGCACAAGGGACAUCU